RNAcentral lists this long non-coding RNA (1757 nucleotides) under Ceratitis capitata (Mediterranean fruit fly). Its description in RNAcentral is "uncharacterized LOC110118307". The record is from RNAcentral. Lineage: Eukaryota; Metazoa; Arthropoda; Insecta; Diptera; Tephritidae.
AAUGUGUCAAAAAAAUUAUAUAUUUUCCAAUAAGCAUUAAAUACCAUUAAAUUUGUGAUAGAAAUGCGAUUUUAAGCUAAUAAAUCUGCCUAAUGGGCUAGUUGAUUAAAAAAUUAAAAAUAAAUUAAUAAUUAUUAUCAAAAUGCACGAAAUAUUUAUUUUAUUUGGCAACUUACAUUUUAAUGCCAAACAAAUAUUUAUGAAAGAAAUAAAUACAUUCGGAAUAGGUCACCUUUCGCUUCUCAAAGUAAACCGCAGAUGCUUUACCAGGGACACACAUCCAGAAUUAAAGUACUCUUUCCCAAUUCACGGGAAUUAAAUGCAGAAUAAGAUGAACGGGGAAAGUGCUGAUUACUUAAAUCCGUAGUGUUAGAGCGCGCAUCAAAAGUGAAUGCCAACGAAUAGAAAAUUGGCCGAAAUUUCGCUUCGAUAGAGGCAAACACACAUAUCAGACGGCUGAAACGGCAACGUGUGCUUAUGGUCUUGUUAUUGUAACAGUACAAAUUGCUAAAUUUGUGUUUAGCCGAUUCCGUGUAAAAGACCAAGUGGUGAAAAUGUCUAUCACAAAAUGGAUUUCAACAAGUCUGAUCGUCAUGCGCGAACUUUUUCAAUUGCCCAGCAAUUAAAUAUCAUAUUGAAAACGAUUUGGAGUCAUUUGAAAAAGGCUGGAUACACGAAAAAGCUCGACUCCGGUUAUAACAUUAAAUGAAAGCAGUUGUAGUCGGAGUGCAGUGACCCGGCAUAAGCGGUCAAAAACCUGAGAUUCAUGUCCAUGAAAGUUUUGGUGUGUCUUUAAUUUUAUUGGCAAGGAAUCAACUGCAGUGAGAUGCGGCCAAACUCUUCACACAGAUUUUUACUGUCAGCAAUCGGACCGUCUAAAGAAAGCAAUCGUUCCAAAGCAUCCAAUUUUGGCCCACAGGAAGGAAAAUGUGUUUGAACGCAACAACGCCAGAUUACACAUAUCGAUAGCUACUCGUCAGAAGAUCCAAGAGCUUGAUUGGCAGUUUCUUGUGCAACCACCUUAUAGUUCGAGCCACGCACCAAGUAUCAACUAUCUGUUCCUGUCUAUGACCAAUAAUUUGGCUGGCCUCAAGAGCAACCUGUGGAAAUAGAUUUUAUCAAUUUUUGCCAAUAAGGACAAGGGUUUCUAUGAGAGAGGCAUAAUGACAAUACCUAAAUAAUGAAAAGAAAUUAGAGAGCGAAAAGAUGCAUAGUUCUGAUAAAUCUGAUAGUUUUGAAUGACUCGUAAGUCUGGAGGUCUGGAAAACGAUUUAACGUAAUCUCUUGUUUUGCCGAUGUCAAUUGGCCAGCGAGACUUUUUUGAGGGGCUAUGAGAAAGACCGUGUUUAUGCGGGGAAUUUUUGAACUAUCGAACACUUGAAAACCAACAAUCGUCAAGUUAUGGCUGAGAUAUCGCUCAAUAUGUGCCGAAAAGAGGUCAAAGCAGUCAUUUGAAUCGUGAAAUGUAUCACAUAUAAUGCCGAAGUUCAGACUUUACAACAAACAAAAAUUUCAUGAAUGUAAAAACGGGUAAUUCUGGACACAAGUCUCUUCUCGUAAAUUGGUUUUCGCAACACAUUCAUUCACCUGCAGCUGCAAAAGGCAAACCCUGUUUUUGGGCAGCCUUGCUCCUCGAUAGCUACCAAAAACUGUUGAUUUUAAACAGAAAUACUUACGACCACAUAAAACGUUCAGAACUCUGCGGUCUCAUCAAACCGAUCCAAACAAUGUCGUUCACAUCCAGUUCACGAAGAAGA